This 484-nucleotide ribosomal RNA is filed under the name uncultured bacterium. RNAcentral describes it as "partial 16S ribosomal RNA". It matches the Rfam family "Bacterial small subunit ribosomal RNA", at positions 29 to 507 of the family's 1533-position model. The record is from RNAcentral.
AUUGAACGCUGGCGGCAUGCUUUACACAUGCGAGUCGAACGGCAGCGCGGGCUUCGGCCUGGCGGCGAGUGGCGAACGGGUGAGUAAUUCAUCGGAACGUGCCCAGUAGUGGGGGAUAGCACGGCGAAAGCCGGAUUAAUACCGCAUACGACCUGAGGGUGAAAGCGGGGGACCGAAAGGCCUCGCGCUAUUGGAGCGGCCGAUGUCGGAUUAGCUAGUUGGUGGGGUAAAGGCUUACCAAGGCGACGAUCCGUAGCUGGUCUGAGAGGACGACCAGCCACACUGGGACUGAGACACGGCCCAGACUCCUACGGGAGGCAGCAGUGGGGAAUUUUGGACAAUGGGGGCAACCCUGAUCCAGCCAUGCCGCGUGCGGGAAGAAGGCCUUCGGGUUGUAAACCGCUUUUGUUCGGGAAGAAAUCCUCUGGGCUAAUACACCGGGGGGAUGACGGUACCGGAAGAAUAAGCACCGGCUAACUACGUG